RNAcentral lists this small RNA (3058 nucleotides) under Pongo abelii (Sumatran orangutan). RNAcentral describes it as "retained intron". The record is from RNAcentral. Lineage: Eukaryota; Metazoa; Chordata; Mammalia; Primates; Hominidae.
UGCAACAAACUUUUUCUUGCUGUAUAUAAAUAUUCUGCAUAGUAUUAAUAAGCAUAGCUUUCAAGAAAUUGUCACAAAAGGUUUUAUUCUCUUUGCUUGUGACUAUUUUUCAUUGAAGCAUGCGCUUACCUAUGCUGAUUCUUACUAAAAGCAUAGGCUGGGGUAUUUAUUGGCGAAAGGAAAUGUGUAGUGUGGGCUAGACUGUUGGUGGAGGCUGGCUCUUUAGCCCACUUGCUAUACAUGCUGCCAAUGGAUUUAAGACUUGAAAUGUUGAAAGUUGAGUGGAAUUAUUUCCCUCCUAAAACAUUUAUUUACAGUACUCCUCUCUACCCCUAAGGUUUGGCUCUGCCUCAGAGGAGUGAGUCUUUUUUUUCUAUAAAGUUUACAUUGUCUUACUAUUUAUUGAGUGAAUUUCUGGUCAUUGCCUAUGCAAAUAUAAGAAAUCUGGCUUUAAAUAUUAGUCAGUUUCAUGGCUAUGACUAGAUUGUUUUCUUGUAUAACUAAAUACCUGUAUAAAAUGAACUAAUGUUUUCUCUCCCCUCCCUACCCCUUCCUUAUGAACAAUGCUUUAGGUAUAUUGAAAUCUUUAAGAGCAGUAGAGCUGAAGUUAGAACUCACUAUGAUCCACCACGAAAGCUUAUGGCCAUGCAGCGGCCAGGUCCCUAUGACAGACCUGGGGCUGGCAGAGGGUAUAACAGCAUUGGCAGAGGAGCUGGCUUUGAGAGGAUGAGGCGUGGUGCUUAUGGUGGAGGUACGUGAGGAUUCGCAAGGUUUGGCAAGUAGUCUGUUCCUUUGUCUAGGUGUUUUGAUUGAUUGUACUUUGUCUUUCAGGCUAUGGAGGCUAUGACGAUUACAAUGGCUAUAAUGAUGGCUAUGGAUUUGGGUCAGAUAGAUUUGGAAGAGGUAAGGUAAGAAUUGAAUUUCUCAGUUGAAGGAUGCUUACACUCUUGUCCAUCUAGACCUCAAUUACUGUUUUUCAGGAAUGUCUGAUCACAGAUACGGGGAUGGUGGCUCUACUUUCCAGAGCACAACAGGACACUGUGUACACAUGCGUGGAUUACCUUACAGAGCUACUGAGAAUGACAUUUAUAAUUUUUUUUCACCGCUCAAUCCUGUGAGAGUACACAUUGAAAUUGGUCCUGAUGGCAGAGUAACUGGUGAAGCAGAUGUCGAGUUCGCAACUCAUGAAGAUGCUGUGGCAGCUAUGUCAAAAGACAAAGCAAAUAUGCAACACAGAUAUGUAGAACUCUUCUUGAAUUCUACAGCAGGAGCAAGCGGUGGUGCUUACGGUAGCCAAAUGCUAGGAGGCAUGGGUUUGUGUAAAUAUCACUUUAGUGUCUUUUUUUAAGCUAACCUUGUAUGCCUUUUCUCUCAUUUCAGAACACAGAUAUGUAGAACUCUUCUUGAAUUCUACAGCAGGAGCAAGCGGUGGUGCUUAUGGUAGCCAAAUGAUGGGAGGCAUGGGCUUGUGUAAAUAUCGUUAGUUUUUUUAAAAACCAAAACGUUUAUAUCUGUAUAAGUCAAUUAUAAGUUAAGUUAAUCUAUUUAAUAAGUUUAGCAUAACAAACUUAGGCAAAGAAAGCAGUUUCUUGAUAUUUGAAUUUUGUAUCUGGCUUACUUAAAUCCUUGGGAGUUAUGAAGUUCCUUAGGAUAGAUAAUUCAAAUUAGAUUUAAGUACUCUUGGGGGAGGGGACUACGGAGUGAAACUACUUAAAUUUUCUAAGUAUAAAGUUUAAAUCUAAAAUAGCAAAACAGGAUUAAGAUAAAUGUGGGCAUAAUUAGGUGUAUUGACAUCCUUUGAUGUAUCAAACUAAGGGGGAACCCCACUAAAUCCAGUCAAGCAGUUUCAUGAGAUCUUCACAAAAUGCCUCUACUUAUGGAAUCGUUGAUUUUAGUCCUGCUGAUGUGUAUACCGUUAGCACUUUGGUUUAUCAAUAUUUGACUAGCUCAAAUGAUGGAUAGAAGGGUAGCCUGGUUAUAGACAGUAGGCAGGAGGAGGCAGAGGGUUAUAGUAAUGUAAGAUCAAGACUGGAAAAUCAUAGAUAUAGAAUUACAAGCCCGGUACCACCAGGUACCACAUUACAUAAGAAAAAAGGUUCUAAUGUUUUCUUAACUUAACAGCAAACCAGUCCAGUUACGGGGGCCCAGCCAGCCAGCAGCUGAGUGGUGGUUAUGGAGGCGGCUAUGGUGGCCAGAGCAGCAUGAGUGGAUACGACCAAGUUUUACAGGAAAACUCCAGUGAUUUUCAAUCAAACAUUGCAUAGGUAACCAAGGAGCAAUGAACAGCAGCUACUACAGUAGUGGAAGCCGUGCAUCUGUGGGCGUGAACGGAAUGGGAGGGAUGUCUAGCAUGUCCAGUAUGAGUGGUGGAUGGGGAAUGUAAUUGAUCGAUCCUGAUCACUGAUUCUUGGUCAACCUUUUUUUUUUUUUUUUUUUUUUUUUAAAGAAAAAAACUUCAGUUUAACAGUUUCUGCAAUACAAGCUUGUCAUUUAUGCUUACUCUAAGUGGAAAUCAGGAUUGUUAUGAAGACUUAAGGCCCAGUAUUUUUGAAUACAAUACUCAUCUAGGAUGUAACAGUGAAGCUGAGUAAACUGUAACUGUUAAACUUAAGUUCCAGCUUUUCUCAAGUUAGUUAUAGGAUGUACUUAAGCAGUAAGCGUAUUUAGGUAAAAGCAGUUGAAUUAUGUUAAAUGUUGCCCUUUGCCACGUUACAUUGAACACUGUUUGGAUGCAUGUUGAAAGACAUGCUUUUAUUUUUUUGUAAAACAAUAUAGGAGCUGUGUCUACUAUUAAAAGUGAAACAUUUUGGCAUGUUUGUUAAUUCUAGUUUCAUUUAAUAACUUGUAAGGCACGUAAGUUUAAGCUUUUUUUUUUUUUUUUUUUUUUUUUAAAGUUAAUGGGAAAAAUUUGAGACGCAAUACCAAUACUUAGGAUUUUGGUCUUGGUGUUUGUAUGAAAUUCUGAGGCCUUGAUUUAAAUCUUUCAUUGUAUUGUGAUUUCCUUUUAGGUAUAUUGCUAAGUGAAACUUGUCAAAUAAAUCCUCCUUUUAAAAACUGC